AGAAACCACCAGUAAAAUCCUGAAAUAACAGUCAAGAACAGGCAUGUCCACCCAGCAACAAUCGUAAUUGCUUCCCAGCAACAAUGCAAAAAGCCGAUGGUUGUGCUGGAGUCAACAGUCUACCGCGGAGAUGGAAGCAGAGCAGAGCACUCUAGUCCCACCUGCAGCACGCUCUCCGCAGCUACCAUGAGAAGUGACGUCAUUACAAACAACCUUUAAACAGUGCUAUAUCUUGGACAGAUGGGUCUCUGAAGCUAUUCACUCUAUGAAAAAAGGACAAUGAUCCAAAACACACCUCCAGGCUGGAGAGUGAUGGAGCGCUACAAUAGAUGACCUGGUUUCCAUAAUCACCCGAACAACCCAAUUUAAAUGGGCCGCAGAGUGAAGGAAAAGUAGCCAACAAGUGCUCAGCAUAUGUGAGAACUCCAAGUUGGAAAAGCAUUCCAGGAGAUUAUCUCAUGAAACUGGUGGAGAGAAUGCCAAGAGUGGGCAAAGCUAUAAUCAAGCCAAAGGAUGGGUACUUUAAAGAAUCUAAAAUAUAAAUGUAUUUUGAUUAGUUAAAAAAAAAAAAAUUACUACAUGAGUCCAUGAGUUUCUACUUCAGGCUCUUCAGAUCGGUUUUGGAAAGAAUGUCAUUUCUAUUAUAGCAAUGUUUAAUAGAGAUAUCAAUAGUUGUAUCAUUUUCUAUCUUAAUACUUCAAAAAUAUUUUAAAAUGUUCUGUUUUGAUUCUGCCCAUCCCUCGCUCAUUUGGAGCACUGCUAAUCUGUUUAAUGUUGUUAUUGCCCUCAUCUGUGUUUCCAAUUACGGUUCCUAUUUAACUUUCUUCCCUCGUGUCUUGUCAUUCAUUGUUUUGAAUUCCAAUGUGAAUUGUUCUAGUUCUGUUACAUUUGAAGUUAUGUUAUUAAAGUCCUCUGUUUUCUCA
Esox lucius (northern pike) is the source of this 923-nucleotide long non-coding RNA. RefSeq lists it as uncharacterized. NCBI's taxonomy places the organism in Eukaryota, Metazoa, Chordata, Actinopteri, Esociformes, Esocidae. The transcript is spliced from 4 exons. The record is from RefSeq and is a predicted model, not a curated record.